GAUGAACGCUGGCGGCGUGCCUAAUACAUGCAAGUCGAGCGAACAGACGAGGAGCUUGCUCCUUUGACGUUAGCGGCGGACGGGUGAGUAACACGUAGGUAACCUACCUAUAAGACUGGGAUAACUUCGGGAAACCGGAGCUAAUACCGGAUAAUAUUUCGAACCGCAUGGUUCGAUAGUGAAAGAUGGCUUUGCUAUCACUUAUAGAUGGACCUGCGCCGUAUUAGCUAGUUGGUAAGGUAACGGCUUACCAAGGCAACGAUACGUAGCCGACCUGAGAGGGUGAUCGGCCCAACUGGAACUGAGACACGGUCCAGACUCCUACGGGAGGCAGCAGUAGGGAAUCUUCCGCAAUGGGCGAAAGCCUGACGGAGCAACGCCGCGUGAGUGAUGAAGGUCUUCGGAUCGUAAAACUCUGUUAUUAGGGAAGAACAAACGUGUAAGUAACUGUGCACGUCUUGACGGUACCUAAUCAGAAAGCCACGGCUAACUACGUG
RNAcentral lists this ribosomal RNA (497 nucleotides) under uncultured bacterium. RNAcentral's name for it is "partial 16S ribosomal RNA". It matches the Rfam family "Bacterial small subunit ribosomal RNA", at positions 28 to 507 of the family's 1533-position model. The record is from RNAcentral.